Long non-coding RNA from Actinia tenebrosa (Australian red waratah sea anemone), 1185 nucleotides. The record is from RefSeq and is a predicted model, not a curated record. NCBI's taxonomy places the organism in Eukaryota, Metazoa, Cnidaria, Anthozoa, Actiniaria, Actiniidae.
CGUAAGGUAAGUCGUUCGGAAUCGUUCGGGUAUUUUCCGUACUCACAUCGGAAGCAUGUGACUUCGAAUCGUUCUUCUCGGUUCGUCAGUUUGCGUGACGCAGCGAAGAAAACAAGAUGGAGUCUCCACAGAACAUCAAGGUCUUUAUAGAAUAUUGUAGUGGAUGAGGCUACUACGGCCAAUUCAAGGACUUGGCCAGUAAAAUUAAAGCUGCCAUUCCAAAUGUGGAAGUGGAAGGCAAAACAGGAAGAAAUAGUUCCUUUGAGAUUGAAGUAAAUGAAAGAGAAAUAUUUUCCAAGCUGAAGAAAGGAGGAAUGCCAGAUUUUGAUGAGGUGUUGGAAGCAAUAAAGGCUGCACAGAGAGGAGAAAACAAAGAAGUAGAAAAACUUCAGCCAGGAUGCACUAUUUUAUAAAGUAAAUUAUUAAAUAAGCUCAUGACAGCACAAACUGUAUACACCCCUUACAUGUGAAUCAAACCAGCUCAAUUUGGCAUAUAAAAUGAAAGAAUUUUAAUCUUCUGAGAAUUAGAAACUUAUUGUUCUAAAUUGGACUACUGCAAGGGGUCUAUUCUAUGCUCUUCUUGUACACUCAAUUGCAAAAUCAUCAUAGAAUACCUGUAAACCAAUUUUUGUUGGAAAAAGUGAUCUGUAUAGACUGUUAACUUUCAACAAAUUUCUCUCACUUCAUUUGGUUAUUUUUUAUCAUCAAUUAGAGGACAGACAGAAAACACUGCUGUCAAUGAGCAUGCGCUCUUUCCAUUGGUUGUUUUGAUCACUAAAAAUGAGAUGUUUUUGUUAAUGUAAAAACAAAUAGACACUAGUUUUAUGUGUCUGUCCUCUUAUUGACGAUAAAUGUUGUUGUCACAUUGUCAAAGAAGUAUGCGGAUCCAUUCGGCUAAGCCUCACAUAAAAAACUGAUGUCUAUGUAUUUCAAGCGUAUCAAAACACAAUAACUUCAGUGAGCACAGUUAAAAUAUUAUGGAUUGAUAUAUGUAGCUUAUCGGCAAGUAGGCAUACAGUCAAACACCACUUUAGUGUUGUCUAGUGUAUGAUGGUUUUCAUGGCAACGGGAAUACUAUUUCCUGAAGUGGAAACCUGAUGUGAAAUAAUCUAAGAAAGCUGGAGUGCAAAGAUUGUAUGUUAGGAUGAUGUCCAUAAUAAAUAAAACAGUUACCAAAAAUAGAAA